GAUGAAGAACGUAGCGAAAUGCGAUACGUAAUGUGAAUUGCAGAAUUCAGUGAAUCAUCGAGUCUUUGAACGCACAUUGCGCUCCCUGGUAUUCCGGGGGGCAUGCCUGUCCGAGCGUCAUUGCUGCCCUCAAGCACGGCUUGUGUGUUGGGCCUCCGUCCUCCUCCCGGGGGACGGGCCCGAAAGGCAGCGGCGGCACCGCGUCCGGUCCUCGAGCGUAUGGGGCUUCGUCACCCGCUCUUGUAGGCCCGGCCGGCGCUUGCCGACACAUCAAUCUUUUUUCCAGGUUGACCUCGGAUCAGGUAGGGAUACCCGCUGAACUUAAGCAUAUCAAUAAGCGGAGGA
This 345-nucleotide unclassified non-coding RNA is filed under the name soil metagenome. Its description in RNAcentral is "partial contains 5.8S ribosomal RNA, internal transcribed spacer 2, and large subunit ribosomal RNA". The stretch from base 1 to 120 matches the Rfam family "5.8S ribosomal RNA", at positions 35 to 154 of the family's 154-position model. The record is from RNAcentral.